This 253-nucleotide ribosomal RNA is filed under the name uncultured bacterium. RNAcentral's name for it is "partial 16S ribosomal RNA". It matches the Rfam family "Bacterial small subunit ribosomal RNA", at positions 524 to 776 of the family's 1533-position model. The record is from RNAcentral.
UACGGAGGGUGCAAGCGUUAUCCGGAUUUACUGGGUUUAAAGGGUGUGUAGGCGGGUCUUUAAGUCAGUGGUGAAAUCUCCGGGCUCAACCUGGAAACUGCCAUUGAUACUAUUGAUCUUGAAUUUUGUUGAGGUAGGCGGAAUAAGUCAUGUAGCGGUGAAAUGCAUAGAUAUGACUUAGAACUCCGAUUGCGAAGGCAGCUUACUAAGCAAAUAUUGACGCUGAGGCACGAAAGCGUGGGGAUCAAACAGG